RNAcentral lists this long non-coding RNA (3022 nucleotides) under Oncorhynchus kisutch (coho salmon). Its description in RNAcentral is "lncRNA (ENSOKIG00005000398.1)". The record is from RNAcentral. Lineage: Eukaryota; Metazoa; Chordata; Actinopteri; Salmoniformes; Salmonidae.
AUGAACAGAAACGCAGGAAAGUCUUUGAAAUUGUUGCAUGUUGUGUUUUAUAUUUUUGCUCCGAAGAAAUUCAGUGGUAGUAAUGGCAGACGAAGCACCACUAAAAGGUUAUUUCUGACCGUCCCCAGGGGAAACUGCUUUACUGCCAUCCUCCUCCCCACAUCAGUGCAGCAGACUUCCAGCCCCAGCACAGGAAGUUCCAGUCUGGAGAUGCAGACGGUAAAGGCUCCAAGACGGGCCACAAACAGAGCAAAGUCAAGAGACAUGAGAAUCUGGUGGACAAGAACUUCCAUCAGAUAAUAGACUGAGGAUGAUGAAGAGGAGGAGGAGGCAGAACCCCAUGGCUGUUUCUCUGCUGUUGGUGGAGGGAGCUACCUGACAUCCAGGACCAGCCCAGGGCCUGUAGACAGCCCUCUAACUGGGAGGAUAAUGGGAGAAGAACUUCUCACAGACCUCCUCCAUUUAAGUGGGAGAUUCUCUUAUGAAAUCACCUCCACACUAGCACCCUGUUUUCAGUGGCUAUCUGACUGCUAUGCUGUGUCCUUGGGCAGGACAGCACUGAUGUCCUGGGUUAUGUUAUUGGUUUGCUCUGGACCUACAAGUUCUGUGCUUUCUCCAGAGCAGUAAGUGACAUUGCAGUUCACUUCUGUUCAUGUCUGAGUUGCCGUACUUGGAUGUAUUGUCACAACAGUCCCUCAAAGUCAAGUGUUAUGUAGUGAAAACUUGCAAUACAAUAUGACAUAAUAAUGCUCUUAGCACUUGAACCUCUUCAUCUUUUAACGUAUACUCCUCGAUCAUAUUGCUCUACGACACUCAGUAUGAGUUUGUACUGAGAGCCAUGCCAUGGCUACUGGCAUCAACGUUCUGUGCAACCCUGCAUCUUGCUGUAUCCUUCUCCAGGUAAAGAAUAUGUAGCCUCGUCCCCAGCCUCGAGAGAGCUAGCUGGUGGGCGAGAUUUAAUGAGUAUGUGAAUAUAACUUCUAAUUGAAUUGAACCCUAACCGUGUUGUCAUUACUGUCUUGACUCUGUGGUCAGAUUGUGUUCCUGUCCUGGUGCAGGAAGAGUACCACUCCGCAGCAGCAUGGAAGGGGUUCUCCAGACACAGUCUCUUGGGGGGCUUCUCUCCCCCACUCAGCACAACCCUAGAGGGAAGACUAAGAAAAACACACAGUAAGCCCAGAGUCCUCUCUGGGUUAAGGAGAUGGACUCAAUGCCUGGCAGUGUUGUUUAUGUCAUUUUAUAGCAAGCAUUGGAAUGAAAGAGCAAAUAAAGAUCUUUAAGAUAGAGAAUGAAAGACUAAAUGGUAGAUGUUUGAGAACUCCUUUUUAAGUUGCUCUUUCAUUCCUGUCCUGGCUUUGCCUCAUACAGUAUUUGAUAAUCAUCUUUAAACACAGCUCUCUUUCCUCAUGUGCGUUGGGCUUGGAUGGCACUCCUCUCUGUGUUCCCUCCAAUAACACAAAUCUCAACAAGAUGGCUGAUAUGGGAUAUUACAUGGAUGUCAACAUUCAACCAGACUCUGUCCAGGGAAGCAGGUGUGUCAGAGAGAUCCCCCUCAGGAGGACUGUGAGAAUGGACAAACCCUGCACCUUAGAAACAUUCUCUGACUCCUCAUCCCUCAACUCUGAUGUGGAGGUCAGAUCCCAACGGAUCCUUACAUCUUCCUCACAUUCUUUAUUAACAACCUUACUAUCGUGUAAAAUCAUAUUCUACAGCAAGAUUUUGCCCAAUAUGGUUAAGUUAUUCUGAGUUUAGUAUGUGAUCGUAAAAAAAUGUGAACUGUUAAACCAUUUUCUGCCACAAGAUGGUGAUAGUAUGUGAAGGAUGGUUGAAAACUUGUUGCUUUGGAUUCAUCUACACAUCAGGGAAACCUAUUAUUUUCAGUCUUAACACAUUGUAGGCCCUGCCUAUUACCAUGUAAGGAAGGUCAAAUCAAGACCUUUACCCACAAGGUCUUCUGAAGUGCUUUGCUUGCUAACUAAGUAUGUUUAUUUAACGUUACUUCUUUAUGCUCAGGCCUUUCCAUGUCGACUGAUUAUUAUAGUGCAGUGAAAGUCCACUCAAGGGCCAUUUCAUAUGAAUUCGAUCACUUUCUGACUGCACCCCUUUUGAUUUGAACGAAACCUUCCAUACAUGUUUGCCAUGGUAGGAGUGGUCAGAAAAGUGACCUUUUGGACCUGAAUGCCAAAACAUUCAGGAGAUAGAGGUGCUCAAAGUUGACGUAUUUUGCAUACCUACCAUUAGACGUCUGUGUCUUCAUCACUGAAAAAUAUAAUUCAAAUCAAAUCAAACUUUAUUUGUCACAUGCACCGAAUACAAUAAGUGUAGACCUUACCGUGAAAUGCUUACUUACAAGCCCUUAACAGUGCAGUUCAAGAAGAGUUAAGAAAAUAGUUACCAAAUAAACUAAAGUAAAAAAUAAUAAAAAGUAACACAGUAACAUAACGAUAACGAGGCUAUAUACAGGGGGUACCGGUACCGAGUCAGUGUGUGGGGGUACAGGUUAGAGGUCAUUUGUACAUGUAGGUAGGGGUGAAGUGACUGCAUGGAUAAUAAACAGCGAGUAGGUGCAGUGUACAAAACAAAUGGGGGGGUCAAUGUAAUAGUUUUUAACGUUAAAGGUAUAAAAAAACAAGCAGAUUUUUGUUAUAUCAAACUCGUUUAUCUAAAUGUGUAAAGUCAGAUUUGUCUCAUUUUCGCAUAGGUUUUAACUUAGACACGGAUUUAUCUGAAGUUCCAGGCAUAAGCGACAUAAGCAGGUAGCUUAGGGCACCCAGCACACAAACUCAGUCGGGUCUUGUAAGGUCCUGACCAUAGAGAGCCCUUAUUUUCUAUGGUGGAGUAGGUCAAGGCGUGACUGGGUGUUUAGUCUAGUUUAUUAUUUCUAUGUCUCUAAUUGGGGAUCAUAUUUAAGUAGCAUUUUUUCCACCUGUGUUUUGUGGGAUAUUGUUUAUGUGUAGUUGCAUGUUAGCACGUUUAGUCUUUAUUGUUUGUUGUGUGGUUCACUUAUUUCUAAUAAAAGAUG